ACCCCGAGACACAAAUUAAUAUUAAGAAAACAGAGAUCGCGGGUUUUAUUUCUCUUUUUUUUUCUUUUCUUUUUUUUUACUAUAUUUUCUUCUUCUUCGAGUGAGCUGUGAAAGCGAUUUAAAAGAGAAAAGAAGGAGUGCAAGAUGAUGAUAAUUCUGCUUCUUCAUUUUAUGAACUACAUUCGCAGAAAAGUGUUAGAGCGCCUUUGGAUGAGGAAGAAGAAGGGGAUGUUAACGAAAUAUCGAUAAGAGAAAGAGAGAGAAGUUAGAUAAUGAGUGAAAAUGAUUUGAGAAAAGUUAUUCUAGUGUGUGAUUCUUCGUUUUUAUUUACCGUAUUGUUGUUUACCUCUGUUAGUGUUGUAAUGAUGUGAUAUGAUAAUUUUUAUUUUAUUUUUACAUAUAUCACAUAUUUAUAAAGAUAUAUUGAAGAGAGGCAUCGAAUGAGAGUCCGUUUUAAUAUCUACCGACGGUUGGAUUCUUCGACCCAUAUUAUAAAAGACGGUAGAAGAUGGGAGAAUUUUCUUCAGUUCUGCUGGAGAGUCUUCAAGGAGUCUGGUCCUUCAGAGGAAGUGAAGAAUUAUGAGUUAUCAUUAUGAUAUCUAACAGGUGGAUGUAUUCAAUACUAUAUCUUUAUUUUUUGUUUUCUUAAUGCAGUGAUUUGUUAUACAUAUUGAAUGUUUCUUAUGGUUUUGCAAGUUAUAAGUUAUAAAUUGUUGAAUGUUUAGCACAAGUUUUUCUUUUAUAUAGCACAAAUUGCUCAAAUCCAUUGAUUUAUACUUCAUUUUCUUUAAAUGUAUCUCAAGUACACGACUUCAUGCCACAUUCAGUCAAGAUAAGACUUUUUUUGUACAAAUAUGAAUCUCAUAUCAGUAGAUGUAAAGAGCAGAAGAAAUGUAGAGACUUGUGUUCCCGAUGUUAGAAGUACAUUUGUUAGGUUAAAAAAGCCCAGUAACAAUGCUAGCAAGAAAAUGAUAGAAAUAUUGCCAAAAUAUCCUUAUCAACCAUUCAUGAAGGAUUAUGCAGUAUAGCCUCUUUAACCUCGACUCACUAGGCUUAGCACUGUGCUAAAUUGCGUCCAUGACAUGACGUUUGGUGGAGUCAUGUCUCACAGAAAAUAAUGUAGUGAUAGAACACUUUUUAUCUUACAGAAAAAACAACAACUGUGAAUGAGAAUGAAUAAUUGACAUUUUAGUUACAUCUUCAGAAUCAUUUAUUUUUUUGGAGAGGACAUAACUAUUGAAAAAUCAGUUAUUCAGUUUGCAAUGGGAAUUAUUUUCCUCCGAUUUAGAAUUCUUUCAAGACUUGUCACAAUUAACGAUUUUUUAUUCUUGCUAUUUUGUUCUCACUUUUUAAGUCUUAUGAUGAACAAAUUCUCUAUCUAAUCUCAAGUGACAUAUUCAUUGUCUGUAGCCUUUUCCAUAGAACUAUUUCAAAAGGGAGAAAGCAUUUCCUUAGGUCUUUUUUCAUCCUAUUUCCCCAAUUACAUCUGUUAAAAGCUGUUAGAUAUGGUUAACACAACCAUCAAAAAAUGUUAAAUGUGCAUAAAUAUGGCUGUUAAGUAUGCUUAAACAAAACUGUUAAAAUCAGUUAAAUUUCCUAUUAAAAGCUGUUAAAUAUUGGUGUAAGAUUGUUAAAAGUUCAAGGAAGGAAAGGUACAAAAAAUAAAUAAAUAAAAAAUGAGUAAGUAUUCCA
Molecule: long non-coding RNA, 1692 nt
Filed under: Penaeus japonicus
Lineage: Eukaryota; Metazoa; Arthropoda; Malacostraca; Decapoda; Penaeidae
Description: uncharacterized LOC122266809
Source: RNAcentral